AUCCAUUUAGGAUCAAUCAGCUCUUUUCGUUCCGCAUGCAAAAGCUUAUAAGCAAUACGGAUUGUAGAAUCACUUACACCAGUAACUUCUGAUAUCUCUUUAGGAGUUUUAGGAUACCCCAUCAGAGCCGAAAUCAUAUAUAUUCCGCUUGCAGCAAUAGAAAUAGGUGAACGACCAGCCAAUGUACCUUGCAACCCAGCUCUACGAGCCAGUUCAGCAGCGGCUGAUUGCACCGACAUAGGAAGCAUAAGCCGAUUACAAAAGCGAACCAUGAGAUCUUCAGCCGAUGUAGAACUGCUUUGAAUGUACUCGUGGCCCUUUAAGGCAUCCACGGAAUUAUGCAGAGCGCCACCUUCAGUGAGCAUCCGUUGAAGAGUCUUGUAGACACGACCUAUUUCUUUUUUCGGGACAUUGGUCAAGGUGCAUAUCUCCAUAAAAGUUCGGGGAACCUUUCCUUGACGACAAGCAAUGUAAAUGCAAGCAGCAAUGAUGGACUGAGAUGACUUACCCUUCAAAGCCUUGUGAUCAUCAACACGCUUAUACAACUGUUUCGCGGUGUCAGCGAUUACCUUUGGCAAGCUAAUUGCAUCGCACAUUGCGCCUAUCUCCUUAUAUGCGGUUAAAAGAUUCUUUUCACCACGAACUUGAACGGAACGGCCUUGAGCCUUUGCCAACAUGGCUCCGGCACCGUCAUACGAAGAAAUUGUCGUGUCUAAUUGAGAACCAUUCAACAGUGGAUUCGCCACUUUACCUACACGACUGGGAUCUCCACUAGCUUCAUCAGAGUUGGAGAACGUACGCCAUUCACUUCUCGUAUCGAUAAUUCGAUCACCCAAAACCAAUCUGAUAUGUGGUUAGCCAAUGUAUUACACAUA
Schizosaccharomyces pombe (fission yeast) is the source of this 875-nucleotide non-coding RNA. The record is from the annotation of a GenBank genome assembly. NCBI's taxonomy places the organism in Eukaryota, Fungi, Ascomycota, Schizosaccharomycetes, Schizosaccharomycetales, Schizosaccharomycetaceae.